UUGUCCUGGAGCUGUAAGUUUCCUGUGUUGAUUUUCUGUUCCUCUUUGUCAGGAUCAAACUCCCACAGAAGAACUCGCAGACUCACUCCAGACGCUUCAGAUCACACACACAGACAAUACAGCAAACGGUUUCAACGUGCUAACAGGAAACGGCCCGGUUCAGGAAGUGGCUGGAUGUUCUGUGAGCAAGGAACAAAUCACAUCGAGGGGUAAGAACUGCACAUUGUACGUAUGUAGGGUGACCAGACGUCCCAGGCUCUGCUCUGCCCCCUGUCCCUGUGGAUUUCUCCAAAACCGUUUAUUUGUCCCAAUUUUAUACAAGCUCCAUCCCAGUUUUUCACCAGUGUCAUCCGCACAAAUUCCCAUUAUGUCCCGGUUUUUAAUUUGGAAAACCUGGUCACCUUUAUUUUAUUUUCCAUGCAGUGAAUCACAAUUCUGACAUUUCUGUUUAAUUCCUCAGACCAGCCAGUGUCUUUCCCGGUCCGUGUGAGUGACGCGGAGCUGGACACGUCUCGCCCCGAACUCAAGCCUUCGUCUGUGAAACCGAUCGAAGUGUCUCUUUCUCCUCCCCUCUCCUCUUCCUCCACCUCAACAAACACAACAAACAGAUCCCCGCAGGCGCCAAAAACCGUGCCAAAAAAGUUUCAACAGUAUCAGGUGAAGUUUUUUUGAGACUGCUUUUGAUUGUAAGGUGUGAGAAUAAUUUUGGAUU
RNAcentral lists this long non-coding RNA (712 nucleotides) under Neogobius melanostomus (round goby). RNAcentral describes it as "lncRNA (ENSNMLG00000000101.1)". Lineage: Eukaryota; Metazoa; Chordata; Actinopteri; Gobiiformes; Gobiidae. The record is from RNAcentral.